UACGGAGGGUGCGAGCGUUGUCCGGAAUCAUUGGGCGUAAAGGGCGCGUAGGUGGCCCGGUCAGUCUUUGGUGAAAGCGCGGGGCUCAACCCUGCGUCGGCCAGGGAUACUGCCGCGGCUCGAGCACUGUAGAGGCAGGCGGAAUUCCGGGUGUAGCGGUGGAAUGCGUAGAGAUCCGGAAGAACACCAGUGGCGAAGGCGGUUCUCUGGGCCUGUACUGACGCUGAGGAGCGAAAGCGUGGGGAGCGAACAGG
Molecule: ribosomal RNA, 254 nt
Filed under: uncultured bacterium
Lineage: Bacteria
Description: partial 16S ribosomal RNA
Rfam family: Bacterial small subunit ribosomal RNA
Source: RNAcentral